This 408-nucleotide ribosomal RNA is filed under the name uncultured microorganism. Its description in RNAcentral is "bacterial SSU rRNA". It matches the Rfam family "Archaeal small subunit ribosomal RNA", at positions 330 to 745 of the family's 1478-position model. The record is from RNAcentral.
GCGCAGCAGGCGCGAAUACUUUACAAUGUGCGAAAGCACGAUAAGGGAACUCUGAGUGCCUCCUAAGGAGGCUGUUCAGGUGUCUAAAAGCACCUGAAGGAAGGGCUGGGUAAGACCGGCGCCAGCCGCCGCGGUAACACCGGCAGCCCAAGUGGUAGCCACGUUUAUUGGGUCUAAAGCGUCCGUAGCCGGCUGGGUAAGUUCCUUGGGAAAUUUGGCUGCUUAACAGUCAAGCUUUCAGGGAAUACUGCCCGGCUUGGGACCGGGAGAGGUCAGAGGUACUCCAGGGGUAGGGUGAAAUCCAUUAAUCCUUGGGGGACCACCGGUAGCGAAGGCGUCUGACCAGACCGGGUCCGACGGUGAGGGACGAAGGCCAGGGGCGCGAACCGGAUUAGAUACCCGCGUAGU